AGUGUGAUAGGGGAACUCUAAGUGCUUAUGCUUUGCAUAGGCUUUUGCCAAAACAAAAAACUUUGGCGAAUAAGUGGUGGGAAAGACGGGUGCCAGCCGCCGCGGUAACACCUGCGCCACAAGUGGGAACCAUUUUUAUUGGGCCUAAAGCGUCCGUAGCCGACUCAGAUAAUCCUCUGUGAAAUUGCUGUACUUAACACAACAAAGUGCAGAGGAAACUGCUGGGAUUGGAACUGGGAGGAGUCAGAAGUAUGUAUAGGGGAGCGGUAAAAUGCUAUAAUCCUAUGUAGACUACCUGUGGCAAAAGCGUCUGACUAGAACAGAUUCGACGGUGAGGGACGAAAGCCAGGGGAGCAAUCCGGAUUAGAUACCCGAGUAGUCCUGGCCAUAAACGCUGCGAGCUAGGUGUUACACAUUCUCCGUGAGUGUGUAGUGUCGUAGAGAAGUCGUUAAGCUCGCCGCCUGGGAAGUAUAGU
Molecule: ribosomal RNA, 476 nt
Filed under: uncultured archaeon
Lineage: Archaea
Description: bacterial SSU rRNA
Rfam family: Archaeal small subunit ribosomal RNA
Source: RNAcentral